ACCCUUUAAUGUUUGAUGUUCUAACGUGGACCCGUGAUCCGGGUUGCGGACAGUGUCUGGUGGGUAGUUUGACUGGGGCGGUCUCCUCCUAAAGAGUAACGGAGGAGCACGAAGGUUGGCUAAUCCUGGUCGGACAUCAGGAGGUUAGUGCAAUGGCAUAAGCCAGCUUGACUGCGAGCGUGACGGCGCGAGCAGGUGCGAAAGCAGGUCAUAGUGAUCCGGUGGUUCUGAAUGGAAGGGCCAUCGCUCAACGGAUAAAAGGUACUCCGGGGAUAACAGGCUGAUACCGCCCAAGAGUUCAUAUCGACGGCGGUGUUUGGCACCUCGAUGUCGGCUCAUCACAUCCUGGGGCUGAAGUAGGUCCCAAGGGUAUGGCUGUUCGCCAUUUAAAGUGGUACGCGAGCUGGGUUUAGAACGUCGUGAGACAGUUCGGUCCCUAUCUGCCGUGGGCGCUGGAGAACUGAGGGGGGCUGCUCCUAGUACGAGAGGACCGGAGUGGACGCAUCACUGGUGUUCGGGUUGUCAUGCCAAUGGCACUGCCCGGUAGCUAAAUGCGGAAGAGAUAAGUGCUGAAAGCAUCUAAGCACGAAACUUGCCCCGAGAUGAGUUCUCCCUGAGACUUUAGGUCUCCUGAAGGAACGUUGAAGACGACGACGUUGAUAGGCCGGGUGUGUAAGCGCAGCGAUGC
Molecule: ribosomal RNA, 688 nt
Filed under: Salmonella enterica subsp. enterica serovar Agama
Lineage: Bacteria; Pseudomonadati; Pseudomonadota; Gammaproteobacteria; Enterobacterales; Enterobacteriaceae
Description: partial 23S ribosomal RNA
Rfam family: Bacterial large subunit ribosomal RNA
Source: RNAcentral